UGUUCACACUAACCUCACACUCCACUCUUGUUCUUCUAGAAAACUGGCAACAUGAAGUGUUUGUUAUCUGCUCUGCUGUGCAUUUUACUCACUCUCAGUGUGGUGACAGGAACCUAUGACUGCCAGUGCACGUGUCCAACAGGCUGGAUGAAGUUUAAUGGCUUCUGCUACAAGUUCUUUACAGAAAGAAUGACAUGGGCUGAUGCAAGACACCACUGCCAUCAGCUGAGGUCACUUCUGCCCUCAGUGCCUGAUGAGCAUGUUAACACCUUCCUGUUGAACCUGAUCAGAAGUGAGGACAACAGGGAGCACUCAGUCUGGCUGGGAGGCACGGACUGCAGAAAGGAAGGGAUGUGGACCUGGGCUGAUGGGACCCCAUGGAACUAUACACUCUGGGCCACUGGAGAGCCCAAGAACUACCAACAGGAACACUGCCUGCAACUCAACUGGAAAG
Molecule: long non-coding RNA, 454 nt
Organism: Lepisosteus oculatus (spotted gar)
Lineage: Eukaryota; Metazoa; Chordata; Actinopteri; Semionotiformes; Lepisosteidae
Source: RefSeq, a predicted model, not a curated record